This 88-nucleotide transfer RNA is filed under the name Hyphomonadaceae bacterium TMED5. RNAcentral describes it as "tRNA-Ser". It matches the Rfam family "tRNA". From Rfam's summary of the family: Transfer RNA (tRNA) molecules are approximately 80 nucleotides in length. The record is from RNAcentral. RNAcentral also lists the same sequence under 1 other name. Lineage: Bacteria; Pseudomonadati; Pseudomonadota; Alphaproteobacteria; Hyphomonadales; Hyphomonadaceae.
GGAUGAGUGGCAGAGUGGACGAUUGCGGCGGUCUUGAAAACCGUUGAACCGAGAGGUUCCGGGGGUUCGAAUCCCUCCUCAUCCGCCA